RNAcentral lists this transfer RNA (86 nucleotides) under Morganella phage vB_MmoM_Rgz1. RNAcentral describes it as "tRNA-Leu". It matches the Rfam family "tRNA". Rfam says of the family: Transfer RNA (tRNA) molecules are approximately 80 nucleotides in length. Their secondary structure includes four short double-helical elements and three loops (D, anti-codon, and T loops). Lineage: Duplodnaviria; Heunggongvirae; Uroviricota; Caudoviricetes; Pantevenvirales; Straboviridae. The record is from RNAcentral.
GCCUGAGUGGUGGAAUGGUAUACACAGGAGACUUAAAAUCUCCCGAGCGAUAGCUCAUAUGGGUUCGAAUCCCAUCUUAGGCACCA